GAUUAAUUUGUCAUAUAAUUUGUAGGUAAACAUAUGCACGGGUCGUGGAUGUAUUGGUUUGUUCAAAAAGUCAUAUCUCAUGAUUAAUGUUCAUCCACAACUGUUGCUGAUUGUCUUGUAGCUGCUGAUGUAUUACUACAUUUUAUGUAUUAAGACUGAUUGUGUUAAGACUGAUUAUGCCUUAUAGCUGCUGAUGUGUUAAGACUAAUGUAUUAAGACCGAGUAUGUGUGUGUGUUAUUGGUUAUUUGAUAUGGAUUGUUGUCUUGUAGCUGCUGAUGUAUGUGAAUUGUAUUGUGAAGUUUGUAAGUUUUAAUUCUAUGGCUUCUUGUAGUAACUUUCAUUUA
Molecule: long non-coding RNA, 345 nt
Organism: Asparagus officinalis (garden asparagus)
Lineage: Eukaryota; Viridiplantae; Streptophyta; Magnoliopsida; Asparagales; Asparagaceae
Exons: 2
Source: RefSeq, a predicted model, not a curated record